Long non-coding RNA from Papio anubis (olive baboon), 531 nucleotides. NCBI's taxonomy places the organism in Eukaryota, Metazoa, Chordata, Mammalia, Primates, Cercopithecidae. The record is from Ensembl.
AUAUGAGCAAAAAGAGUCAAAUAGAAAGGAAAAAAUGUAUCUACAACAAAACCAGCAGACAGCUAAAUUCCACAUCACAGACUACUAAAGAAUAUCUCCUAGAAGCAAGAUCAUUUGAACCAAAUUAAUUGAAGAUGGAUGUUCAGAACUUUAUCCUAUAUCCUCUGAUAUUGGGAAAGAAUCAAAUUUCGAAUCAGUGGAUUAAAAAGAGCCUUACUAGUAAUCUUUAACCUGACACAGAAAGGAUUAACUCUAUGGAUGGAUCGAGGAGAAAUAAAGAGAACCUUGACUGGGGCACCAUUCUGUUCCAAAGAAUGGCAAGAAAGGAUGAAGAAUUGGCUGGAGGUAAAAAUCUCAUUGAAAAUCUUUGUCAGUGGAGUGAGAAACUUACAUCCAUGCAAGGGCACAGCAAGAAGGCAGCCAUCUGCAAGCCAGGAAGAGGACCUCACUGGUUCCUGGCCAUGCCAGCAUCCUGAUAUUGGACCUCCAGCUUCCAGAACUGUAAGAAACAAAUGUCUGUUAUCUAAGUGA